GAUGAACGCUGGCGGCGUGCCUAAUACAUGCCAGUCGAGCGAACGGACGAGAAGCUUGCUUCUCUGAUGUUAGCGGCGGACGGGUGAGUAACACGUGGAUAACCUACCUAUAAGACUGGGAUAACUUCGGGAAACCGUAGCUAAUACCGGAUAAUAUUUUGAACCGCAUGGUUCAAAAGUGAAAGACGGUCUUGCUGUCACUUAUAGAUGGAUCCGCGCUGCAUUAGCUAGUUGGUAAGGUAACGGCUUACCAAGGCAACGAUGCAUAGCCGACCUGAGAGGGUGAUCGGCCACACUGGAACUGAGACACGGUCCAGACUCCUACGGGAGGCAGCAGUAGGGAAUCUUCCGCAAUAGGCGAAAGCCUGACGGAGCAACGCCGCGUGAGUGAUGAAGGUCUUCGGAUCGUAAAACUCUGUUAUUAGGGAAGAACAUAUGUGUAAGUAACUGUGCACAUCUUGACGGUACCUAAUCAGAAAGCCACGGCUAACUACGUG
This 497-nucleotide ribosomal RNA is filed under the name uncultured bacterium. RNAcentral describes it as "partial 16S ribosomal RNA". It matches the Rfam family "Bacterial small subunit ribosomal RNA", at positions 28 to 507 of the family's 1533-position model. The record is from RNAcentral.